Molecule: long non-coding RNA, 526 nt
Organism: Patiria miniata (bat star)
Lineage: Eukaryota; Metazoa; Echinodermata; Asteroidea; Valvatida; Asterinidae
Exons: 2
Source: RefSeq, a predicted model, not a curated record
UGGCAGGGCCAAAUUGAACUUGUAGUUUUUACUGUAUUGCUUUUAGUGUUUAGGUAUAGGUGUAGCUCCCCUGAAUAAAUCACCCCUUUUUAUUAGAUGUCCCCUACCCUUUCAUAGAGUGUGUACCCCUGAUUAACUUUUCCCUCUUCCCCAGUAACAUGACCCCUUAGAACAAUAGCCCCUUUGAUAAGACCCAUGUGCUCUGCCACCCUGUAAGUCCACAGCCCCUCACUUAGAAGACCAGCGGCAGUAGAGAGAGGACUGUGUAUUAUAUAUCCACUCUUCCCCUUUUCUUGGGAGCGCCUGCCCUGUGUGUUUAUCUGCUCAAGUCACCUGGUUUCAGUCAGAGUGCAUUUAAGGUCCAUUAUUUUGACGCUCUAUGUUGGUUAUAGUUUAGUUAUAGGUUUUAGGUUUUGCUCUUUUCGUUUAAGUUUCUGGUCAACAGUUUUUCAUAGUUAAGUUUGGUCUCAAGUUUGUUUCAUUUUAAAAUCCUUUUCUUAAUAAAAUAGUUCGCGACUUGUUCUUA